UGCGCAGGCGGGUUUGUAAGUCAGUGGUGAAAUCCUGCCGCUUAACGGUAGAAUUGCCAUUGAUACUGCGAAUCUUGAGUAUGGUUGAGGUAGGCGGAAUGUGUAGUGUAGCGGUGAAAUGCAUAGAUAUUACACAGAACUCCGAUUGCGAAGGCAGCUUACUAAGUCAUAACUGACGCUGAGGCACGAAAGCGUGGGGAGCGAACAGGAUUAGAUACCCUGGUAGUCC
This 229-nucleotide ribosomal RNA is filed under the name uncultured bacterium. RNAcentral describes it as "partial 16S ribosomal RNA". It matches the Rfam family "Bacterial small subunit ribosomal RNA", at positions 568 to 796 of the family's 1533-position model. The record is from RNAcentral.